UACAGAGGGGGCAAGCGUUGUUCGGAAUUACUGGGCGUAAAGGGCGCGUAGGCGGCCUUCUAAGUCAGACGUGAAAUCCCCGGGCUCAACCCGGGAACUGCGUCUGAUACUGGAAGGCUUGAAUCCGGGAGAGGGAUGUGGAAUUCCAGGUGUAGCGGUGAAAUGCGUAGAUAUCUGGAGGAACACCGGUGGCGAAGGCGGCAUCCUGGACCGGUAUUGACGCUGAGGCGCGAAAGCGUGGGGAGCAAACAGG
RNAcentral lists this ribosomal RNA (253 nucleotides) under uncultured bacterium. Its description in RNAcentral is "partial 16S ribosomal RNA". It matches the Rfam family "Bacterial small subunit ribosomal RNA", at positions 524 to 776 of the family's 1533-position model. The record is from RNAcentral.